Molecule: RNA transcript, 1411 nt
Organism: Triticum dicoccoides
Lineage: Eukaryota; Viridiplantae; Streptophyta; Magnoliopsida; Poales; Poaceae
Exons: 7
Source: RefSeq, a predicted model, not a curated record
GUUCCAACCCUAGCCCCCACGCCCCCACUCUCCCGCACCCGCACCCGCUCGCCAAACCCUAGCUGCCACCGCCGCCCCCGCAUCAUGGCCAUCGACGAUGAGGAGCCCGAAUCCCCAUGCCUCCCAAGCGCCCGAAACCCUAGCCCACAGCGCAGCCAUGGCGACCGAGCUCUGGAUCCGGUCCAGGGCGCCGCCAUCAUGCAGCAGCACCACCAGCUGGACCAGUGGCUCGCCGGCGACGUGGGCGGGGUGCACGCGUCCUCCAGCACCAUCCGCGACUGUCUCCCAUCGCUAGGCCCAAACCCAAACCCAAACCAGCCGCCUCUCUCCCGGCUCCCUCCCCCGACGCAAACCAGCCGCCACCCCGCCCCCGCUGGUGACCUUGCCGCCGUGCACCGCCCUCCACCCUCCGCCACCCUCUUCCCCUCCCCCGCCUCGUCCCCUCGCCUUCUCGCCCGGAUGGAGCAGCAGGUGAGGCGGCGGCCAGAUCCGCCGAGGUGGUUCCGGAUCCGCCCCGCUGUCAGGCGACGGAGGCGCUCGAGGGCGGCUGCGUCUCCCCAGCCGCUCACGCGCCAGGAGAGGAGGAGGUGGCGGGCACGGCUUCCUUUCUCCGGCGACGACGCGGCCGUUCGAUGGUUUGACGCCGCUCUUCCGCGUGAUGACAGAGCAUGCCGCGGCUCCUCUGCGCCGACCAUGGGGGACGAAGCCAUGGAUCUCAUCAAGGAGAACCUCAGAUGCCUGGCUGGCUGCUCGCUCAUCUCCUCGCACGCAGGGUUUUUGUUGCUUCGGAUCGCUUCCUCCUUGACACCCCGAUUUGGACAGCGGCAGCAGCGAUGGUGUUGACACUCGAGCAUGCCUACCUCUCCAUCUAUAACUGGGUGCAGGUGCUCUACUACGUGCUACUCCAGACGGGUCACCUGGACGUGUACGUCGGCAAUCGAGAGGCCGCUCCAGCUCGUGCAGACCAUUGACUGGCUCUACCAUUGAUCAGUUAUCUGUUAUUGAUUUUACAACUGUCCAGGCUUGAAUUUACUUGGGAGUACAUAUUCCAAGGACUUGAAGAAAAUGCCAAUCUUAUGAUGACCCUCUCCCUUGCUGCAUUAGGUUCCUUGAUGUGGCUGAGGAAGAACAAACCUAGGACUUUAAUUCCAAUAAUUUAUGCAUGUGCUCUGCUUCUGGCAAAAAUGCCAUCUAUCACCUGGAGGAGCACGCCUAGGAGAAGAGAGGGCUCAUUCCAGUUGUUUGGAAUAGAAGACAAUGAAGCAUGGUGGUUAUCUAGAUAAUCUGCCUUGUGUUUUGGUUGUACUUUGUACCUAGUUAUAUUGUAUUCUGUAGUAGUCAGCACAUUCUGGAGCAGAAUCCAAUGAAGUUGUAAAACUGUAAGAAAUGUGAGAAGUAUACUUUGUACCUA